Mytilus trossulus (common blue mussel) is the source of this 831-nucleotide long non-coding RNA. RefSeq lists it as uncharacterized. The transcript is spliced from 3 exons. The record is from RefSeq and is a predicted model, not a curated record. NCBI's taxonomy places the organism in Eukaryota, Metazoa, Mollusca, Bivalvia, Mytilida, Mytilidae.
GAUGAUGACAAGUUUGGUGACGAAACACAUAAGAGUAUCGCUGCUCUUGUAAACGCUGUGACAAAUCGUAAGUCUGUUAUUACAGAAAUAGCUAAGGAUUAUAAAGUUCCUUCAAAUAGCAAGUCUUUGGCACCUCCUAAAGUUAAUCCUGAGAUUUGGCAUCUAUUGAAUCGCCAAGCCAGAAGUGAUGAACUGUCCUUUCAGACCAUACAAAGGAUCCUGGGUUUUGGCAUUGUACCAGUAAUACGUACUGCAGAAGCACUGACGAAACCAGAUGCAGUAAAAACGGUGGCUAAAAUGAGGGUCAACAUUAAUAAUGCCCUGUCAAUGCUUUGUGCAGCAUUUUUUGAAAUAUCAUAUGUUAGACGCAUGACACUGAAAAACAAUAUGGAUCAGAAGUACCAUCAACUGUGUACGAGACAUUUAGACGUUACUGAAUAUUUGUUCGGAGAUGAUGUGUCCAAGAAAGUUAAAGAUAUUAAUGAUGCCCAGAAGAUGAAGGGAGUUGUAAAUACAGCUACUUCAAAAAACUGGAGACAAGGGGGUUGCAGCUAUGGUUGCCCCCCAGGUAUAAACAGGGGCAGAGGAAGAUACCAAAACAACAAUUAUGGCCAAAGAGGCAUGAGAAACUCCCGCUAGAGGGAGAGCUGGUUACAGAAACCAAAGAGGCAGGAGAUAUUAGAGUAUCAUAGCAAGAAUUUUGAACAAGGUAGAAGAGGAACAGGAGUUCCAUUCUUUACAGAAACCGAUAACAUUGUGGAUUGACCAGAGCUGUCGAUUUUUCCAGGAUUGUGUUCAUGGUGUUGUGUUGGAUAUAUAAAUGAACUUUAU